GAAGGUUUGGGUGAACUGUUGGAGUUCGUUUUUUUCUCUUUUUCUCCCUAAAAAAGAUGUUGGGAGUAAGAUUAGCAACCUUUUGGAGUUGCUCUAACAACAUUAAAAAUACAAAGAUAAUUAUCAGAUUUGCAUCUUCCUCAUCUCCCACACAACAACAAUGGCAUCUCAGUCAAAUCACAUUAUGCCUAUCAACGAAGACAACUACUUGGAUCUGGCACCGCCAUUACUUCCACAAGUACCAAGCAUGGUCAUGUCGUUGGUUGUAGGUGCCACAUCCUCGCCAAAUUUCUCUGGGAUCAACAUUCCUACUGAUCAUACGGAAAGAAUAGAGUUAGAAAAUGUAAGUCAUAUUGUACCUAUGUAAAUAUGUUUGCAUAUUCUCCAUGAUUUCUAUCUUACUGCGUAUGAUAACCUCUCCAAACCCAAACAGGAUUCUGCUAAAAUUGAUUUUACUACUCGAGUAGAAAAUUCUCUAGAAGAUAGGAUACCAAAGGUUGGUAUGAAAUUCUGCACUGAGGAAGAAGCCUAUAACUUUUACAAUGCUUACACCAAAGAUAAGGGUUUCAACAUCCGAAGGAGUAGUUCUAAAAAUACUACAACAAUAAAGAAUAGAACUUUUUGUUGUUCUCGUGCAUGUAUCAAAUUAAAUCUUUUUUAUACUAGUUCUUUACGGUUUGGGAUAGAACAUCAAUUUAAUCAAUUUUUUUUAUUUAUCAAUAGGUAUUCAGGUCAUGAUAAAAGAGAAGAAAAUUCCAAGUAUAGUAGGUCUGAGACACGAUGCAUGUGUCAAGCAUGCAUGAAAGAGAAGAAAAUUCCAAGUAUAGUAGGCCUGAGACACGAUGCAUGUGUCAAGCAUGCAUGAAGAUAAGUCCCACGGAUGGGUUGUACUACAUCUAUGAAUUUGAGCCUAAGCAUAACCAUAUUUUUGCUACUGCCAUCCAAGCCUAGCACUUAAGAUCUCAAAGGAGAAUAACUACAGCACAGAUUGCCGGUGUCGAAGCUGCUAAAGUGGUUGUGAUUUCAAAUAAAUCCACUUUUUAUCUCAUGGUAAAAGAAGCCGGUGGAAAUGAGAAUCUUGGAUUUACACAUGAAGAUAUGAAAAAUAAAUUAUACUCAAAGAGAUCACUGAAGGUAAAACAAGAGACACAGGAGGUGUGUUGGAAUAUUUGGAGAAGAAAGCAUCAAAAGAUGGGAAGUUUUUCCAUUCCUUUCAGGUUGACGAUGACGAUUUGAUAAUGAAUAUUCCUAGGCUGAUUCUAAAAUGGUUUCGGACUAUGAAGUUUAUGGUGAUGUCGUUUGCUUUGACCUAAAUGAUGGACAUUCAUUCGGUUUGCUAGUUGGAGUGAACAAUCAUAAGAAAACUAUUUUUGGUGCUGCACUUUUGUAUGAUGAAACUGUUGAAAGUUUUGUGUGGCUUUUCAAAACCCAGGCAAGAAGCCAAAGACCAUUUUAAUUGACGAAGAUGCAGCAAUGGCAAAAGCAAUCAAGAUAGUACUACCAGAGAGUCACCACAGGAUUUGUGUUUGGCAUAUGAACCAGAAUGCAUGCAAGCACCUUUCUGAAGUUGUGGAAGAAUAUAAGAUGUUCAAUACAGAUUUUCAAAACUGUAUUUAUGAUCAAGAGGAUAAGGAGGACUUUAUAAAUGUGUGGAACAAUUUGCUAGAUAAGUAUAAGCUAUAAGAAAAUAAAUGGCUCGAAGUAUUAUUUGAUAAAAGGGAGCAAUGGGCCUUAGCAUACGGAUGAAAUACAUUUUCUGCUGAUAUGGUUAGCACUCAAAGAAGUGAAAGCAUGAAUAAUGAAUUGAACGGAUAUAUUAGUGUCAAAUAUGACAUACUCUUUUUGAGCACUUUGACAGGUUGGUGGGAGAUAAAAGAUACGAAGAGGUAAAAUAUGAUUUCAAGGCAACACAAAGUACACCAAAGUUGAAACCAGACCUGAGAAUAUUAAGGCAUGUAGCAAAAAUUUAUACCCCAGUAGUAUUCAAGCUAGUACAAGAACAGGUGAUGCAAACACUAAAUUACGAUCUAUUCUAUUCUGGUGAUAUUGAUGCUGAAAAGUUGUAAAAAAUAAAGGUUUGUGGCAAGAAAAACGAGCGUGUUGUAAAGUUUUCUGCACUGGAGGUCAUGUGAAGUUUAGCUGAAAAAAGUUCGAAUUUGCUGAAAUCUUAUGCUGCCAUGCAUUGAAGAUACUUGAUAUUAACAAUAUAAAAAAAAAUCAUAAACAGUGCAUACUCAACAGAUGGACAAUUGAUGCAAAAGUGGCUCAUAUAAAGAGCAAACCUGAGAUACAUGAAGAUCCCAAAAUAAAGCUAUCAAAAUGCAGAAUAGAGUUGUGAAAAAAUGUUCCUUCAGUUAGCUAACCAAGCUGCUGAAUCCGAUGAAACAUACUCUAUUGCUGUGAACAGUCCAGAGAAAUUAGCAGAGGAUGUGGAGAAAAGCCUAAAAAAAUAGAGGUGAUACAUAUACGGGUAGUUCAUCUCAGCCGCAAGGUUUGCACUGGAAUACUACUUGUGUUAACCCCACAUAUACCACACAAUUUAUUUGUUUUGUAAUUUUUUUUAAAAAAUGACCUUUGCAGCUACACUACAACAAGACCAGGCUAUAAAACCAAAAGGUGUCAAGGUUAAGGAGAAGGCAAUCCAUGUAUCUGACAGACCAACUGGUGGAUUUGAGAAGGCAACACAAAAGGAAAAAAAAGAACAAGAAUAACCCAAAGAUAUCUGGUUCUACAUCUGGUUUUGAGAAUGCAACACAAAAAAGGAACAAGACCAAUAAUGACUCAAAGGCAUCUGGCUUAGCAAUGGAAUCAGAUAUUGUGACACAUUUGCAAACACACGCCAUAUUGGUAUAAGAUUUCAAGAUUAUUUGCUAUUACUAUUAUUAAGACUAGUCACAUAUUCAGUAGUGAUAGUCAAAUCCCUUUUUUUUUAACAGGGCCAUUUAGGGACCAAUAAACAUCAACAUCACAUACAAACACAAGGCUACUAUCCAGUUGGUAAUGCUUUUAUGCAUCCAUUCUUCGGUUCUUUCUCUAGGGUCCCAUGAUCAUGGUCAACAUACACAUCAAGGAAAUACCACUCAAUCAUUUAUUACAAAUCCCUACAAUAAUAUGUUUUCCCGUUUUAAUUGAACUAUUAAAAGCCAUAUCCUUUUAGAAGAAUGGAUGUGUUCUGCGCACUAUCUAUCGAAUCCUUUGUAUCAAACAAUUUAUGUUACCUAGGAACUAUAUUUUCUGUGUUUUGUACAGAAACAAUUAAUACAAUUUCGUUUCUAUCCACGAACUAAUCAACUGAUUACAAGUAUCAUACUGAAGUGGUAAAGUGCAUAUUCCUCAAAAAAAAGGGGAAGGCACAAGACAACUAACCAGACCAAAUUUGCCAGGAGGAAGAUUCUUUGCUCCGAGAAGAGGACCUCGAAGGAUACACCAUCACCAUCACCAUCGUCUUCACAGCACCUGCUGUCAGCAAGCUUAUGCAUCACCCUCCUAACUUGAUAUCCCACCAUGGUAAUCCUGAUUGGACGCAGCGACAAGGAAACCGCAAAAUAGAAAUCCCCACUGCCCUAAUCGAGAUUUUGCAGCAGGAAUCGAGGUUGUGGACACCAAAUCGAAAUCAACAAUAAUCGAGAUUCCACACCCCAAAUCAGCUCCCUGCCACCGUGCUUUAACUUGUUGUUGCACCAAUCGAACUUCUUGCUACUAGAUGUAAAAUCCCGUUGAGAUCGAGCUCUUCGAUUUGUGCAGCAGCUAGGCGGAUCAGCUUGGAGUAGAGAAGGGGCAAUGAUAGAGCGGAGGACGGAGCGGCGACAGACUAGAUGACUGUUCCGUUUGGCGUGGGAUAACAAUGGAAAAUUAGUGGACCUACCUCUGGAGAGGAAGCUAAUAGGUGGUCUCCACGUGUGGAGGGACAACAUAUGGAGACAUGCAAAGGAGACACCAAAACCGCAGCCGGCUCGUGCUCCCACGCAUACCAGACAACUUCGUCGUCCGUCGUAGGAACCGCUGACUGCAAGGUCGAUUCCUUGGGAUCGAGUGAGCACGCCGUUCCCGCGGAGGCCGCCGCUCCUUACCGGCGCCGUUCCUGUCCCCGUCGAGCCCUGCACCUCGCUGUCCCCUUCAACCGCCGCGCCACCGCCGACAUGCCGGCCGCCGCGCUGCUGCGCCGUUUGACUGCGGCACCCCAAGCUCGUGUGCUGCCGGUUAGCGCGUACCGCUCUUCCGGCCAAAUCAGCCGGUCGCGACUCGCUGCGAGAGGGGAGGAAACAC
RNAcentral lists this long non-coding RNA (4266 nucleotides) under Setaria italica (foxtail millet). RNAcentral describes it as "long non-coding RNA (SITA_LNC002769)". The record is from RNAcentral. Lineage: Eukaryota; Viridiplantae; Streptophyta; Magnoliopsida; Poales; Poaceae.